This 468-nucleotide ribosomal RNA is filed under the name uncultured bacterium. RNAcentral describes it as "partial 16S ribosomal RNA". It matches the Rfam family "Bacterial small subunit ribosomal RNA", at positions 28 to 507 of the family's 1533-position model. The record is from RNAcentral.
GACGAACGCUGGCGGCGUGCUUAACACAUGCAAGUCGAACGGAAAGGCCCUGCUUUUGUGGGGUGCUCGAGUGGCGAACGGGUGAGUAACACGUGAGUAACCUGCCCUUGACUUUGGGAUAACUUCAGGAAACUGGGGCUAAUACCGGAUAGGAGCUCCUGCUGCAUGGUGGGGGUUGGAAAGUUUCGGCGGUUGGGGAUGGACUCGCGGCUUAUCAGCUUGUUGGUGGGGUAGUGGCUUACCAAGGCUUUGACGGGUAGCCGGCCUGAGAGGGUGACCGGCGACAUUGGGACUGAGAUACGGCCCAGACGCCUACGGGAGGCAGCAGGCGGGAAUAUGGAACAAUGGGCGGAAGCCUGAUGCAGCAACGCCGCGUGCGGGAUGACGGCCUUCGGGUUGUAAACCGCUUUCGCCUGUGACGAAGCGUGAGUGACGGUAAUGGGUAAAGAAGCAACGGCUAACUACGUG